GAUGAACGCUAGCUACAGGCUUAACACAUGCAAGUCGAGGGGUAACGUGACGGUAGCUUGCUACUGUUGACGACGACCGGCGCACGGGUGAGUAACGCGUAUCCAACCUGCCCCGUACACUGCAAUAGCCCGCUGAAAGGCGGAUUAAUGGCAGAUGCAGUUCAGUGAUGAUAUCAGAUCUGAACGAAAGCCUUCGGGCGGUAUGGUGAUGGGGAUGCGUCUGAUUAGGCAGUUGGCGGGGUAACGGCCCACCAAACCGACGAUCAGUAGGGGUUCUGAGAGGAAGGUCCCCCACAUUGGAACUGAGACACGGUCCAAACUCCUACGGGAGGCGGCAGUGAGGAAUAUUGGUCAAUGGGCGAGAGCCUGAACCAGCCAAGUAGCGUGCAGGAUGACGGCCCUAUGGGUUGUAAACUGCUUUUGUACGGGAAUAAAGUGAGCUACGUGUAGUUUAUUGCAUGUACCGUACGAAUAAGGACCGGCUAAUUCCGUGCCAGCAGCCGCGGUAAUACGGAAGGUCCGGGCGUUAUCCGGAUUUAUUGGGUUUAAAGGGAGCGUAGGCCGUAUAUUAAGUGUGUUGUGAAAUGCAGAUGCUCAACAUUUGACUUGCAGCGCAUACUGGUAUACUUGAGUGCGCGCAACGUAGGCGGAAUUCGUCGUGUAGCGGUGAAAUGCUUAGAUAUGACGAGGAACUCCGAUUGCGAAGGCAGCUUACGGGAGCGUUACUGACGCUGAUGCUCGAAGGUGCGGGUAUCAAACAGG
This 762-nucleotide ribosomal RNA is filed under the name uncultured Prevotella sp. RNAcentral describes it as "bacterial SSU rRNA". It matches the Rfam family "Bacterial small subunit ribosomal RNA", at positions 28 to 776 of the family's 1533-position model. The record is from RNAcentral. Lineage: Bacteria; Pseudomonadati; Bacteroidota; Bacteroidia; Bacteroidales; Prevotellaceae.